UACGUAUGGAGCAAGCGUUAUCCGGAUUUACUGGGUGUAAAGGGAGCGUAGGCGGUACGGCAAGUCAGAAGUGAAAUGCCGGGGCUCAACCCCGGAACUGCUUUUGAAACUGUCGAACUAGAUUGCAGGAGAGGUAAGUGGAAUUCCUAGUGUAGCGGUGAAAUGCGUAGAUAUUAGGAGGAACACCAGUGGCGAAGGCGGCUUACUGGACUGUAAAUGACGCUGAGGCUCGAAAGCGUGGGGAGCAAACAGG
Molecule: ribosomal RNA, 253 nt
Filed under: uncultured bacterium
Lineage: Bacteria
Description: partial 16S ribosomal RNA
Rfam family: Bacterial small subunit ribosomal RNA
Source: RNAcentral